Molecule: non-coding RNA, 27 nt
Filed under: Bombyx mori (domestic silkworm)
Lineage: Eukaryota; Metazoa; Arthropoda; Insecta; Lepidoptera; Bombycidae
Source: RNAcentral
UGUCUGCGAAGUACGUGAUAGCGCUGC